Molecule: ribosomal RNA, 334 nt
Filed under: Candidatus Nomurabacteria bacterium RIFOXYB1_FULL_39_16
Lineage: Bacteria; Candidatus Nomuraibacteriota
Description: bacterial SSU rRNA
Rfam family: Bacterial small subunit ribosomal RNA
Source: RNAcentral
AAUUAACUUUUAGUUAGAGUUUGAUCCUAGCUCAGGAUGAACGCUGGCGGCGUGGAUAAGGCAUGCAAGUCGAACGGACUUUCUAAAAUCCGAGAUGCGAUUAUAUCAAGUCAAAGGUCGUAGAAAGUUAGUGGCGAACGAGGUAGUAAUACAUAGGAACUUCCCCCGAAGUCGUGAAUAAUCUGUCGAAAGACAGACUAAUACACGAUGGUCUCGCAAGAGUAAAGUUUUAACGCUUCGGGAAAGGCCUGUGCGAUAUCAGCUAGUUGGUAGUGUAAUGGACUACCAAGGCUAUGACGUCUAGGGGAGCUGAGAGGCUGACCCCCACCGAUGG